Molecule: ribosomal RNA, 209 nt
Filed under: uncultured bacterium
Lineage: Bacteria
Description: partial 16S ribosomal RNA
Rfam family: Bacterial small subunit ribosomal RNA
Source: RNAcentral
UCGGAUUGCAGGCUGCAAUUCGCCUGCAUGAAGUCGGAGUUGCUAGUAAUCGCGGAUCAGCAUGCCGCGGUGAAUACGUUCCCGGGCCUUGUACACACCGCCCGUCACACCACUCGAGUUGUCUGCACCCGAAGUCGCUGGCCUAACCAUUUGGAGGGAGGCGCCGAAGGUGUGGAGGGUAAGAGGGGGUGAAGUCGUAACAAGGUACC